This 460-nucleotide ribosomal RNA is filed under the name uncultured bacterium. RNAcentral's name for it is "partial 16S ribosomal RNA". It matches the Rfam family "Bacterial small subunit ribosomal RNA", at positions 338 to 795 of the family's 1533-position model. The record is from RNAcentral.
CCUACGGGUGGCAGCAGUGAGGAAUAUUGGUCAAUGGGCGCGAGCCUGAACAAGCCAAGUAGCGUGAAGGAUGACUGCCCUACGGGUUGUAAACUUCUUUUAUAAAGGAAUAAAGUUAGGCACGUGUGCCUUUUUGUAUGUACUUUAUGAAUAAGGAUCGGCUAACUCCGUGCCAGCCGCCGCGGUAAUACGGAGGAUCCGAGCGUUAUCCGGAUUUAUUGGGUUUAACGGGAGCGUAGAUGGGUUGUUAAGUCAGUUGUGAAAGUUUGCGGCUCAACCGUAAAAUUGCAAUUGAUACUGGCAGUCAGGAGUACAGUUGAGGGAGGCGGAAUUCGUGGUGUAGCGGUGAGAUGCUUAGAUAUCACGAAGAACUCCGAUUGCGAAGGCAGCUUACUAAACUGCCACUGACAUUGAUGCUCGAAAGUGUGGGUAUCAAACAGGAUUAGAUACCCGUGUAGUC